RNAcentral lists this ribosomal RNA (351 nucleotides) under uncultured bacterium. RNAcentral describes it as "bacterial SSU rRNA". It matches the Rfam family "Bacterial small subunit ribosomal RNA", at positions 30 to 314 of the family's 1533-position model. The record is from RNAcentral.
AUUGAACGCUGGCGGCAUGCCUUACACAUGCAAGUCGAACGGCAGCACGGGGGCAACCCUGGUGGCGAGUGGCGAACGGGUGAGUAAUGCAUCGGAACGUGCCCAGUAGUGGGGGAUAACUAGUCGAAAGAUUAGCUAAUACCGCAUACGACCUAUGGGUGAAAGCGGGGGAUGCAGCACUUAAUGUUUUGGGAUGGCUACUUGUGGCCGCCUCGGGACAGUCUCAGGUUGAGAACAUUAAGUGCUGCACCUCGCGCUAUCGGAGCGGCCGAUGUCUGAUUAGCUAGUUGGCGGGUAAAGCCCACCAAGGCGACGAUCAGUAGCUGGUCUGAGAGGACGACCAGCCACACU